GGGUUGUGAGGUUAAGCGACUAAGCGUACACGGUGGAUGCCCUGGCAGUCAGAGGCGAUGAAGGACGUGCUAAUCUGCGAUAAGCGUCGGUAAGGUGAUAUGAACCGUUAUAACCGGCGAUUUCCGAAUGGGGAAACCCAGUGUGUUUCGACACACUAUCAUUAACUGAAUCCAUAGGUUAAUGAGGCGAACCGGGGGAACUGAAACAUCUAAGUACCCCGAGGAAAAGAAAUCAACCGAGAUUCCCCCAGUAGCGGCGAGCGAACGGGGAGCAGCCCAGAGCCUGAAUCAGUGUGUGUGUUAGUGGAAGCGUCUGGAAAGGCGCGCGAUACAGGGUGACAGCCCCGUACACAAAAAUGCACAUAUUGUGAGCUCGAUGAGUAGGGCGGGACACGUGGUAUCCUGUCUGAAUAUGGGGGGACCAUCCUCCAAGGCUAAAUACUCCUGACUGACCGAUAGUGAACCAGUACCGUGAGGGAAAGGCGAAAAGAACCCCGGCGAGGGGAGUGAAAAAGAACCUGAAACCGUGUACGUACAAGCAGUGGGAGCACGCUUAGGCGUGUGACUGCGUACCUUUUGUAUAAUGGGUCAGCGACUUAUAUUCUGUAGCAAGGUUAACCGAAUAGGGGAGCCGAAGGGAAACCGAGUCUUAACUGGGCGUUAAGUUGCAGGGUAUAGACCCGAAACCCGGUGAUCUAGCCAUGGGCAGGUUGAAGGUUGGGUAACACUAACUGGAGGACCGAACCGACUAAUGUUGAAAAAUUAGCGGAUGACUUGUGGCUGGGGGUGAAAGGCCAAUCAAACCGGGAGAUAGCUGGUUCUCCCCGAAAGCUAUUUAGGUAGCGCCUCGUGAAUUCAUCUCCGGGGGUAGAGCACUGUUUCGGCAAGGGGGUCAUCCCGACUUACCAACCCGAUGCAAACUGCGAAUACCGGAGAAUGUUAUCACGGGAGACACACGGCGGGUGCUAACGUCCGUCGUGAAGAGGGAAACAACCCAGACCGCCAGCUAAGGUCCCAAAGUCAUGGUUAAGUGGGAAACGAUGUGGGAAGGCCCAGACAGCCAGGAUGUUGGCUUAGAAGCAGCCAUCAUUUAAAGAAAGCGUAAUAGCUCACUGGUCGAGUCGGCCUGCGCGGAAGAUGUAACGGGGCUAAACCAUGCACCGAAGCUGCGGCAGCGACGCUUAUGCGUUGUUGGGUAGGGGAGCGUUCUGUAAGCCUGUGAAGGUGUGCUGUGAGGCAUGCUGGAGGUAUCAGAAGUGCGAAUGCUGACAUAAGUAACGAUAAAGCGGGUGAAAAGCCCGCUCGCCGGAAGACCAAGGGUUCCUGUCCAACGUUAAUCGGGGCAGGGUGAGUCGACCCCUAAGGCGAGGCCGAAAGGCGUAGUCGAUGGGAAACAGGUUAAUAUUCCUGUACUUGGUGUUACUGCGAAGGGGGGACGGAGAAGGCUAUGUUGGCCGGGCGACGGUUGUCCCGGUUUAAGCGUGUAGGCUGGUUUUCCAGGCAAAUCCGGAAAAUCAAGGCUGAGGCGUGAUGACGAGGCACUACGGUGCUGAAGCAACAAAUGCCCUGCUUCCAGGAAAAGCCUCUAAGCAUCAGGUAACAUCAAAUCGUACCCCAAACCGACACAGGUGGUCAGGUAGAGAAUACCAAGGCGCUUGAGAGAACUCGGGUGAAGGAACUAGGCAAAAUGGUGCCGUAACUUCGGGAGAAGGCACGCUGAUAUGUAGGUGAAGUCCCUCGCGGAUGGAGCUGAAAUCAGUCGAAGAUACCAGCUGGCUGCAACUGUUUAUUAAAAACACAGCACUGUGCAAACACGAAAGUGGACGUAUACGGUGUGACGCCUGCCCGGUGCCGGAAGGUUAAUUGAUGGGGUCAGCGCAAGCGAAGCUCUUGAUCGAAGCCCCGGUAAACGGCGGCCGUAACUAUAACGGUCCUAAGGUAGCGAAAUUCCUUGUCGGGUAAGUUCCGACCUGCACGAAUGGCGUAAUGAUGGCCAGGCUGUCUCCACCCGAGACUCAGUGAAAUUGAACUCGCUGUGAAGAUGCAGUGUACCCGCGGCAAGACGGAAAGACCCCGUGAACCUUUACUAUAGCUUGACACUGAACAUUGAGCCUUGAUGUGUAGGAUAGGUGGGAGGCUUUGAAGUGUGGACGCCAGUCUGCAUGGAGCCGGCCUUGAAAUACCACCCUUUAAUGUUUGAUGUUCUAACGUUGACCCGUAAUCCGGGUUGCGGACAGUGUCUGGUGGGUAGUUUGACUGGGGCGGUCUCCUCCUAAAGAGUAACGGAGGAGCACGAAGGUUGGCUAAUCCUGGUCGGACAUCAGGAGGUUAGUGCAAUGGCAUAAGCCAGCUUGACUGCGAGCGUGACGGCGCGAGCAGGUGCGAAAGCAGGUCAUAGUGAUCCGGUGGUUCUGAAUGGAAGGGCCAUCGCUCAACGGAUAAAAGGUACUCCGGGGAUAACAGGCUGAUACCGCCCAAGAGUUCAUAUCGACGGCGGUGUUUGGCACCUCGAUGUCGGCUCAUCACAUCCUGGGGCUGAAGUAGGUCCCAAGGGUAUGGCUGUUCGCCAUUUAAAGUGGUACGCGAGCUGGGUUUAGAACGUCGUGAGACAGUUCGGUCCCUAUCUGCCGUGGGCGCUGGAGAACUGAGGGGGGCUGCUCCUAGUACGAGAGGACCGGAGUGGACGCAUCACUGGUGUUCGGGUUGUCAUGCCAAUGGCACUGCCCGGUAGCUAAAUGCGGAAGAGAUAAGUGCUGAAAGCAUCUAAGCACGAAACUUGCCCCGAGAUGAGUUCUCCCUGACCCUUUAAGGGUCCUGAAGGAACGUUGAAGACGACGACGUUGAUAGGCCGGGUGUGUAAGCGCAGCGAUGCGUUGAGCUAACCGGUACUAAUGAACCGUGAGGCUUAACCUUACAACGCCGAAG
RNAcentral lists this ribosomal RNA (2925 nucleotides) under Escherichia coli. RNAcentral describes it as "23S ribosomal RNA". It matches the Rfam family "Bacterial large subunit ribosomal RNA". The record is from RNAcentral. Lineage: Bacteria; Pseudomonadati; Pseudomonadota; Gammaproteobacteria; Enterobacterales; Enterobacteriaceae.